This 1594-nucleotide ribosomal RNA is filed under the name Brassica juncea var. tumida. RNAcentral describes it as "bacterial SSU rRNA". The stretch from base 282 to 1594 matches the Rfam family "Eukaryotic small subunit ribosomal RNA". The record is from RNAcentral. Lineage: Eukaryota; Viridiplantae; Streptophyta; Magnoliopsida; Brassicales; Brassicaceae.
CUAAUGGUGGAUUAUAUUCCACUGCUUAUUGUCUUAUUUAUGUUUAUGUCUUGUUGGUCACUCGGGUUUACUACGGGGAAGUUCUGAGUGAUGUUAUUAUUUUUUUGUUAUUAGGCGAACUCCUCGUCUUAGUUUGUUUGGGGUGGGAUGGCGAGGGGUUGUAUUUGUUAGUUGGGCUCUGGCUCCUGAGUGACAUUAGGUUACUCAUUAAACUCACUCUUCGUUGCAGAAACCUUUGUGGGAGACGGGUAGAGUGGAAGCUGGACGUUAGGAGCACGAAGUACUUUGCCUUUCCUUUUGUAAAUGGUACUAGUUAAAGUCUUUUGACUGAUAUUGCACUAGGCCUGGAUCCAUUGUAAUAUUUUAUUGUAACGAAUCUUUAUUAUAUUAAUAAAAGAUGAUGUUUUAUAUUCUUACAAUGGUUCUCUGAUAAAUAGACUUGUCCGUCUAACACAACUUAGGUUUAGGUACGGGUUGAAAAGCCUUAGGCCGCUUGAUCUAACGGAACCGUUAACUCUAGUACGGGUUGCAAAGCCUUAGUCCAUCGAUUUAGCGGGAUAGUGUUAGUAAGCAGCGAAUGUGCGAGCUGACAGACUGCUGUAGCGCUUCUGGACCAUGGUGUUGGGUUGACGGUCAGUCAUGUUCGAUGUUUGGAUGGCCGACCUAUGCCUAGGUCGUUUCGGGUCUGACAACACCGGGCAUUUCGAUUUCAUUAGUCAGAGGUGAAUUCUUGGAUUUCUGAAAACAGAAUAGACGAAUGAGCAUUGCCAAGGAUGUUUUCAUAAUCAAGAACGAAAGUUGGGGCUCGAAGAGCGAUCAAUAAUCCUAGUCUCAACCAUAAACGAUGCGCAGGACCCAGGAUCUUUAGCCGACUGUCAUGCUGGCACCAAAGUUUUUUGUGUUCCGGGGGGAGUAUGGUCGCAAGGCUGAAACUUAAAGGAAUUGACGGAAGGGCACCACCAGGAGUGGAGCCUGCGGCUUAAUUUGACUCAACACGGGGAAACUUACGAGGUCCAGACAUAGUAAGGAUUGACGGACUGAGAGCUCUUUCUUGAUUCUAUGGGUGGUGGUGCAUGGCCGUUCUUAGUUGGUGGAGCGAUUUGUCUGGUUAGUUCUGUUAACGAACGAGACCUCAGCCUGCUAACUAGCUACGUGGAGGCAUCCCUUCACGGCCGGCUUUUUAGAGGGACUAUGGACGUUUAGGCCAAGGGAGUUUGAGGCAAUAACAGGUUUGUGAUGCCUUUAGAUGUUCUGGGCCGCACCCGCGCUACACUGAUGUAUUCAACGAGUUCACACCUUGGCCGACAGGCCCGGGUAAUCUUGAAAUUUCAUCGUGAUGGGGAUAGAUCAUUGCAAUUGUUGGUCUUCAACGAGGAAUUCCUAGUAAGCGCGAGUCAUCAACUCGCGUUGACUACGUCCCUGCCCUUUGUACACACCGCCCGUCGCUCCUACGAUUGAAUGAUCCGGUGAAGUGUUCGGAUCGCGGCUGACGUGGAGUGGUUGCCAUCUGCGAGUCGACGAGAAGUCCACUAAACCUUAUCAUUUAGAGGAAGGAGAAGUCGUAACAAGGUUUCCGUAGGUGAACCUGCGGAAG